GUAGGUGGCAAGCGUUGUCCGGAAUUAUUGGGCGUAAAGCGCGCGCAGGUGGUUCUUUAAGUCUGAUGUGAAAGCCCCCGGCUCAACCGGAGAGGGUCAUUGGAAACUGGGGAACUUGAGUGCAGGAGAGGAAAGUGGAAUUCCACGUGUAGCGGUGAAAUGCGUAGAUAUGUGGAGGAACACCAGUGGCGAAGGCGACUUUCUGGCCUGUAACUGACACUGAGGCGCGAAAGCGUGGGGAGCAAACAGGGAUUAGAUACCCUGGUAGUCCACGCCGUAAACGAUGAGUGCUAAGUGUUGGGGGGGUUUCCCGCCCCUCAGUGCUGCAGCUAACGCAUUAAGCACUCCGCCUGGGGAGUACGGUCGCAAGACUG
This 374-nucleotide ribosomal RNA is filed under the name uncultured organism. RNAcentral's name for it is "partial 16S ribosomal RNA". It matches the Rfam family "Bacterial small subunit ribosomal RNA", at positions 527 to 896 of the family's 1533-position model. The record is from RNAcentral.